AUACGAGGGCCCCAAGCGUUAUCCGGAUUUAUUGGGCGUAAAGGGUCCGUAGGUGGUUUGUCACAUCUCCUGUUAAAUCUAUCGGCUCAACCGAUAGGCUGUGGGAGAGAUGGGCAGACUAGAGGCCGGAAGAGGCAAGCGGAAUUGCUGGUGUAGGGGUUAAAUCCGUUAAUAUCAGCAGGAACACCAAAUGCGAAGGCAGCUUGCUAGGACGGUCCUGACACUAAGUGACGAAAGCGUGGGUAGCGAAUGGGAUUAGAAACCCCUGUAGUCC
RNAcentral lists this ribosomal RNA (274 nucleotides) under uncultured bacterium. RNAcentral's name for it is "partial 16S ribosomal RNA". It matches the Rfam family "Bacterial small subunit ribosomal RNA", at positions 523 to 796 of the family's 1533-position model. The record is from RNAcentral.